This is a long non-coding RNA of Rhinichthys klamathensis goyatoka, 579 nucleotides long. RefSeq lists it as uncharacterized. The transcript is spliced from 2 exons. The record is from RefSeq and is a predicted model, not a curated record. Lineage: Eukaryota; Metazoa; Chordata; Actinopteri; Cypriniformes; Leuciscidae.
AUGUGAACUCGGCUACUUUUAUUUAAGGCAAGAACUUGCAUUGUUGUCCUUUGCAUAUCUUAAUACAUGUAAAUGUACAUGAUACGUUGUUUUUUUCCCUUAUCUGUUAAGGCAUUGCAUUGUUUUCUAGCGGACCAAUACAGCAUCCAUAUAAAACGCUGAUUUUUUUUCUUUUCUUUCUGAGGUAUUAAGCAGCACAAUAUUUACAAUGGGUAUAAUUUGAGUCAUUUGUCUUCGAUUCUGUAUGCAAUAGAAACAUGGAAAGAAACGCCUUAGAACAUUAACACUUCCUCUUCUGUGUAAGUAGAGAAAAAGAUAUUGCACUAUUUUUUUCUUUUUUGAUGUCUUUGUAAUGCAAUAAAUGCACUAGGUAGAACAAUAAUCGCAAUGGACACAUAAUUGGUCCUCAGACGUGAUGUUGGCACACACUAUCUUUCUCUCUUUCGCUCCUUCAUCUUUCUGACAACAUGACAAAUAAAUCCUGCCUGAUGCUGUAUAUGCUUUCUAUUUAAAGAAAAUGCCACUAGUUAUAAUAAAAAACAAAACAAAAAAAACAUUUUAUGUACUUUUAACACUCCA